GAGGGAAAGGUGAAAAGCAACCAUGCAGAAUGGGUUGAAAAAGAAGUGAAAGUGCUACCGGGAUAAGGGCUAUUGAUUGCAAGUGUGGAUCGCAUGUGCUUCAGUGCUAUGCUUACCGCCGUCAUGCAUCGAUUGGGGACUGGGGAGAACAGGGUCGGUGGAGAUUCGGCUCGGUCUCGAGUGUUGUAAUCCGCCGGUCAGUGGAGCCCCCCUCGAUCGGAUAUCAGGUGCAUUGGUUGCGAUCAUUAGCCGCCCGUCUUGAAACACGGACCAAGGAGUGCACCUUGCAUGCGAGUCUAAGGGACUGGAAUCCCAUAGGCGUAGCGAAAGCGACGAGAGCGAAUCCUUUAACCGGGAGGAUGCCCCACCUGCCUUGUGCAAGGCUGAGCAUGUAGGGUGCGACCCGAAAGAUGGUGAACUAUGCCCGGGUAAGGUGAAGCCAGUGGAAACGCUGGUGGAAGCCUGUAGCGGUUCUGACGUGCAGAUCGAUCGUGUAACCUGGGUAUAGGGGCGAAAGACCUAACGAACCGUCUAAUGGCUGGUUCCCCCCGAAGUUUCCCUCAGGAUAGCCGUGUCUAAGUAGUGCCAGUUGCAUGCGGUAGAGCGAAUGAUUAGGUGUCUCGGGGCCUUACUGGCCUCGGCUCAUUCUCAAACUGCGAAUAGCGUGCGUCCGCGUCGUGUCUUAUCAGCACGCCGGGUUAAUGGCCAGACGCGAGUGGGCUGGUUUUGGUAAGC
RNAcentral lists this ribosomal RNA (735 nucleotides) under uncultured Tulasnella mycobiont of Riccardia palmata. RNAcentral's name for it is "eukaryotic LSU rRNA". It matches the Rfam family "Eukaryotic large subunit ribosomal RNA", at positions 355 to 1145 of the family's 3401-position model. Lineage: Eukaryota; Fungi; Basidiomycota; Agaricomycetes; Cantharellales; Tulasnellaceae. The record is from RNAcentral.